UGUUAACCAAAUAUUCAAGUAUAUCUCCAUCACAGAAUCUGAUUCCCUUCUUAUGCUUCACAGAUUGCUUUGUUUUGUAUUUCUCCUGUUCUAAUAAAUAUAUCAUUACUCAUCCCUUCUUUCUCCUCUAUUUUUCUUUCAGAGGCAAAGUUCGUAAAGUCCUCCAUAUUUUUAUGGUUAUAUUUUUCUUGAAUUUAAAAAUAAAUAUGAACACCAAAGAAAAAUAUCAUCCUAAUAUAGCUGCACAUUUGUUUCCUGAGAAUACAGGCAGAAUGUUCCUUCUGACUAGCUCCAGGAAACCAAACAAGAGGUGUUUUAAGAAUACAUUCCCACUGAGGUGAGUUCUGUGAGACAAAGCAAAUAGAGCAUUAAAAAAUUGGAAAGAGUACCAAAUUUCAU
Molecule: long non-coding RNA, 399 nt
Filed under: Vulpes vulpes (red fox)
Lineage: Eukaryota; Metazoa; Chordata; Mammalia; Carnivora; Canidae
Description: lncRNA (ENSVVUG00000007550.1)
Source: RNAcentral